GGACAUUGUAUUAUUACAUAGAAUCAUAAACUAAACCUGCGGGUUUGCGGCAACACCCGCAUAAACUAAACCUGCGGGUUUGCUUAGAAUCUAAAAGGACAAAGCACAAAAAAUUAAAACAACUUGUGAAAUCUCCCAGUGUCGUCUCAAAUGUCUCCAUAAAAAACAUGGUCGGCCAACUUUGCUCCAUCACCAUCAGCCACGAGACACCCCAGCUUCAUCAAUCAUCAUGUCACGCGAACCACAGCUCCUCCACCAUUGUGCCGUCUGAUCUCAUCAGUGCACAACACUGUUUCAUUGCCGCCGUGUCUCUUCUUCAUUGUCCGGAUCAUUAAGCUGUAGGUUUGAUUCUCAGUUUGUACUUGAUUACUGAAUUUGGGUUUGACUUUUAAAUUAAGGAUUGAUUGAAUUGGUUGGUGGAUGAGGGUUUUUUUUUAUCAAUAAUUUUUGUUGAAUCAGUGUUGUUUCUUUUGUUGGAAACUAUUAAUAAUUUUCUGUUUCUUUUGUUGGAAACUAUUAUGAAAGGAA
RNAcentral lists this long non-coding RNA (528 nucleotides) under Citrus maxima (pomelo). Its description in RNAcentral is "long non-coding RNA (CMAX_LNC000021)". Lineage: Eukaryota; Viridiplantae; Streptophyta; Magnoliopsida; Sapindales; Rutaceae. The record is from RNAcentral.